UGGGGAAUAUUGGGCAAUGGGCGCAAGCCUGACCCAGCAACGCCGCGUGAAGGAAGAAGGCUUUCGGGUUGUAAACUUCUUUUGACAGGGAAGAGCAGAAGACGGUACCUGUCGAAUAAGCCACGGCUAACUACGUGCCAGCAGCCGCGGUAAUACGUAGGUGGCAAGCGUUGUCCGGAUUUACUGGGUGUAAAGGGCGUGUAGCCGGGCUGACAAGUCAGAUGUGAAAUCCGGGGGCUCAACCCCCGAACUGCAUUUGAAACUGUUGGUCUUGAGUAUCGGAGAGGCAGGCGGAAUUCCUAG
This 303-nucleotide ribosomal RNA is filed under the name uncultured bacterium. RNAcentral's name for it is "bacterial SSU rRNA". It matches the Rfam family "Bacterial small subunit ribosomal RNA", at positions 355 to 673 of the family's 1533-position model. The record is from RNAcentral.